AGGUCAGCGCAAGGUGAUCCUGAGGAGAUAGGCGGCGCUCGGGGGGCGCCCUCGUUCCUCUUAUCGCGCCUUUGUCCCUCCCUCCGUUCCUUGCCCCGCACCCUCACUUUCGCCGCCCUGUGCGUUGCCUGUCCCGGAACUGGUUCCCUCAAGCCGCCCUCACCUGUUCUGACUUCCCCUCGAGGCACAAUAGCCUGAGAGAUCAGACGUGGGAGAUUAGAUUGCUCGGCGUCAGACCUACUUCUAGGCAACCCCCCCUAGACUGGAGCUGCUCGUCGUGGACAUUAGGAUCUAGUUGGGCAUGAGCCCUUAACUUAAGGGUCGGGGGGGAAGUGGCGGGUGCGGAGAGGAGGCGUGGAGAGUGUGAGGAAGAAGAGAGGCACUCUGAGAAGAAGUCGAACAACUAACCCCUCAUUUGGCCUGGUUUGGGUGAGAAGAUUGAGUCACUUGGGGAAAAAAAUAUUGGAGAAGUCAGAGAAGGUGUAAAUCAGUGGUGCCACAAACACCAGUUUACUUCCACUUUUCACCCCCCGGGUCUGUUUUGUCUGCGUGCAGCUCUCCUCGUGUCGGAGACGCUGAGUCAGUUCUCUACUGGUCUUGCCCUCUUCCGGAAAAAGAAAACACACCUGAGAAGUGGUAGUUCCUAUCCUAACCUACUGGGGCCCUUUAUACCAGGUGCCAAACUUCAUUAUCCACCCCACCACCUUGCCCGGGAGGGAGAUCUGUGAAAGCGAAACGUGAUUUAAGCUGGGAUCUGGCAGCAACUUCGUGGACUCUGAAGGGCACGUGGGAAAGGAGUUUUGAUUGAAGGUGAGGGAUUUAGUGAGGUAAAAUUAUAUCCAAAUUAGAGUUUGGUAAAGGCUUCCAGGUUAAUGUCCUGUUAACGCUUAUCCUGAUUUGUGGAGGACACUUAAGCUGUCUAGGCCUAACCUUGUGUUUGAUCACUCACCUUAAUUUGUAGACAUUCUAGGAGCUCUUUGUCAAUGCCUCUUACCAUUUUUAUCAUUAACUAUUUAUGCUUAUAGAAGCAGGAAAAAUAAAUUGUGGGAGCCUUCAUCUGCAAUAGGUUUACAACUUUUUUUCUAAAAUCUUGAGGCAAGGAGACUUAUUCCCCCGCCCCUUUUUUUCUCACAGAUUUCUUGUAUGUCUCCCUCGCCCCGCCCGCACCCCGUCCCCCCGCCCCCGGACAAUUAAUUGUAGGAGGAAACAAGAACUAAGAUGUCUAUUCGAGUGAUUUUUUAUAUCUUUCUUAAGGAGAAAAAGACUGACAUUUGACACUGUGCUCUUGUUUUGUCUUGCUGAUAAUAACUGACAGCAAUGUUUACUUUUCUUACAAAUGAAACUAUCAGGGUACGUACUUUUAAGCUCUUUAAUACAAUGGGUUUCAUCCUUCCAGUGGGAGAGUAUGAAUUGCCCACUCUGCGUAGACACAUGACUGCUGGCCUGUUGGACACAUGGUCACACUUGCUAUACUCUAAAUAGUGUCUUUGUGACCUGAAACAGUCAACACUUUUCUUAAAGCUACAGUGUGCCCACACUCAUUGUAUUUUUGCUUUGUAUGGAAUUUCAAAUUUACUUAUUACCUUCUCUAUGAAUAAUAGCAUAACUUAUGCAUUCCAUUUAUGCCUUUCAGGGAACCUGAUGGUUAAUUUCUACCUCUUAAAGUAACACAUUAUGUUGUAAGAUUUUGCUCUUAAUAUAGCAGUCCCCCUUAUCCUUGGUUUCACUUUCCAAGAUUUUGUCAACCAUGGCCCAAAAAUGUUACAUCACUACUCUUGCAUUUGGGGGGUAUUAUUACAUAAAAUGAUAGUUAUAUGAACACAAGCACUGUCACACUGCAACAGUCUGACAACCCAGACAGCAACUGGCUAAUGGCAAUCUGGGCAGGGACAGAGCAGACUGUGCUCCUCAGAAUGGUGCACAAUUUAAAACUUAUGAAUCGUUUAUUUCUGGAAUUUGCUAUUUAUGUCACAAUACUUAUGUCAUUCACCUCACUUCAUCUCAUCAUGUAGGUAUUUUAUCAUCUCACAUCACAAGAAGGAGAAGGGUGAGUUCAGUACACUAAGAUGCUUUGAGAGGGAGACCAUACAUAACUUUUAUUACAGUACACUCUUAAAAUUGUUUUAUUUUAUUAUUAUUAUUUUUUGAGACAGAGCUUCUUGUCUCCCAACCAGGACUAUAAUGGCACAAUCUCAGUUCACUGCAACCUCCGCCUCCAGGUUUCAAGUGAUUCUUCUGCCUCAGCCUCCCGAGUAGCUGGGAUUACAGGUGCCCGCCACCACGCCUGGCUAAUUUUUGUAUUUUUAGUAGAGGUAGGGUUUUGCUGUGUUGGCCAGGCUGGUCUCGAACUCCUGACCCCAGGUGAUCUGCCCACCUCGGCCUCCCAAAGUGCUGGGAUUACAGGCAUGAGCCAUGGCGCCCAGCCUGUUCUAUUUUAUUAUUAUUGUUGUUAAUAUCUUACUGUGCCUAAUUUAUAAGUGAAACUUUAUCAUAGGUAUGUAUGUAUAGGAAAAAACAUAGUGCAUUUAGAGUUCAAUACUAAGGUUUCAGGCAUCCACUGAGUGUCUUGGAACACAUCCACCAGGCAUAAGGGGGUGGGGGUGACUACUAUACUUAGGUAAGAUUUAUUUGGAGAGUGCUUAAUAAAAAUUAUGAAUUUCUUG
RNAcentral lists this long non-coding RNA (2663 nucleotides) under Homo sapiens (human). RNAcentral describes it as "HSALNT0297004". Lineage: Eukaryota; Metazoa; Chordata; Mammalia; Primates; Hominidae. The record is from RNAcentral.